Molecule: ribosomal RNA, 492 nt
Filed under: uncultured bacterium
Lineage: Bacteria
Description: partial 16S ribosomal RNA
Rfam family: Bacterial small subunit ribosomal RNA
Source: RNAcentral
AUUGAACGCUGGCGGCAUGCUUUACACAUGCAAGUCGAACGGUAACAGGCCUUCGGGUGCUGACGAUUGGCGAACGGGUGAGUAAUGCAUCGGAACGUACCCAGAGGUGGGGGAUAACGCAGCGAAAGCUGUGCUAAUACCGCAUGUGAUCUGAGGAUGAAAGCGGGGGACCGAGCAGCAAUGUUUGGCCUCGCGCCUUUGGAGCGGCCGAUGUCGGAUUAGCUAGUUGGUGGGGUAAAGGCCUACCAAGGCGACGAUCCGUAGCUGGUCUGAGAGGACGACCAGCCACACUGGGAGUGAGCCACGGCCCAGACUCCUACGGGAGGCAGCAGUGGGGAAUUUUGGACAAUGGGCGCAAGCCUGAUCCAGCAAUGCCGCGUGCGGGAAGAAGGCCUUCGGGUUGUAAACCGCUUUUGGCAGGAACGAAACGGUGUCCGCUAAUACCGGGCGCUAAUGACGGUACCUGCAGAAUAAGCACCGGCUAACUACGUG